GUGCUCACCUCGGCAGCCCAUAUACUAAAAUUGGAACGAUACAGAGAAGAUGGCCCUUGCUCAAGGAUGACACGCAAAUUCGUGAAGUGUUCCAUAUUUUU
Molecule: small nuclear RNA, 101 nt
Filed under: Otolemur garnettii (small-eared galago)
Lineage: Eukaryota; Metazoa; Chordata; Mammalia; Primates; Galagidae
Source: RNAcentral